This 165-nucleotide ribosomal RNA is filed under the name uncultured Pseudomonas sp. RNAcentral describes it as "partial 16S ribosomal RNA". It matches the Rfam family "Bacterial small subunit ribosomal RNA", at positions 365 to 525 of the family's 1533-position model. Lineage: Bacteria; Pseudomonadati; Pseudomonadota; Gammaproteobacteria; Pseudomonadales; Pseudomonadaceae. The record is from RNAcentral.
GGGACAUGACGCAGCCUGAUCCAGCCAUGCCGCGUGUGUGAUGAAGGCCUUCGGGUUGUAAAGCACUUUCAGCGGGGAGGAAGGGGAUUAAGUUAAUACCUUUGUGCCUUGACGUUACCCGCAGAACAAGCACCGGCUAACUCCGUGCCAGCAGCCGCGGUAAUA